CUAAAUUUGACUCUGAUUUUCUGAAGCAAAUGCAGAAGUGUUGCGUUACUACAUCUUAAAAUAUGUGAUGGGUGAAAAAUAAGGGAACUUUGAACAGGAGCUUAAUUUGAGAUCAUGAUUCCAAAAGCCAAAAGAAAGAAGCUACAUGUAAUUUGAGAGAUGCUUACUCAUCUCUGCCUCCUUUUACCAGUUCCUUAUUCAGGGAGAAGAAGCUGAAUCAGCCAUUGCAGAUUGCCUGCUGCCUCCUCUGCCCCUGCAGCCUGGAAGGGACCCCUCCUGCUACCAAGCAAAGCAGGGAGUAAAAAUCCAAAUACCAUGCCCUUGACUUGGUUAUGGAAAAGAAAACAGAUGAAAAAUGUCCCUGUUCAUGGUCAGAAAUUACCACACUAACCUGUGAUAGCUGAAUCAUGGAAGGUAUAUAUGACACCUUUCUAAAAUGCUUGUUCUGAUUUCUUUUAGUAUGAAGAUGCAGCACAGAAGUGGAAAACUCAGUAGAAAUAUUCCCUAAUAGCCUAAGAGGGAUAAAUAUUACUAUAAAUAACAAUUGUAUCUCUCUUACCAUUUCUUUGUCUUUAACUGUCUCUAAGGUAAAAAUAAUUUUAUUUCUCUAGCUAUGAUUUUCUUUUUUUGCCCCUUUUAUAUUGAUAUCUCCAUGUCAUUGUGAGGGUUUUCCCCCUUUUUUUCAAUUUUUUUUUUUCUAUUUGUUUGGUUUGCAUUUAUUUAAUUUAUAU
Molecule: long non-coding RNA, 731 nt
Filed under: Zonotrichia albicollis (white-throated sparrow)
Lineage: Eukaryota; Metazoa; Chordata; Aves; Passeriformes; Passerellidae
Description: lncRNA (ENSZALG00000006036.1)
Source: RNAcentral